AAUCUACUCACAUGCGCACACACUCACAUACAGACUCAUACAUACACACUGUACCUCUCUCCCCUUAUCUUUCCUUGGCCUCUAUUUCUUACAUCUCUCAGAGAAAAGGACAAUUUUCGUGGUAUUGCUUUGUGCCUGACUUUACUAAACUCUGGAGAAAACGAACAUUGUCGCUCGGUCCACACCUGUCCCCAUCUCAACGACGGGCAACCGGCGUACACUGUGAGGCGUCUCCUGAGGGUUCAACCUCGGGGCAGGGGGUUCCAGUACCUGGUUGACUGGGAGGGUUAUGACGGGAAACUGGCGUACACUGUGAGGCUUCUCCUGAGGGUUCAACCUCGGGGCAGGGGGUUCCGGUACCUGGUUGACUGGGAGGGUUAGAGGUGGUGGGUCCCCACCAGGGAAUUCUGGACCCAGGCCUCAUCGUGGAUUUCCAAUGCCGGCACCCUAGUCAACCAGGCCGGUGGUAGCUGGUCCCCUGCAGGAAGGUGAGGUGCCGGAGGUCCCCCUGCCCCCUCUGGACAUCGAGGGGUCCCCGGCGUACACAUGUACUGGAUGUCACCAGUGUGAACAGCCCCAGACCAAGCAGAACUCCCAGGACUCUGUACAGUUCUAGGCCCACUCAGCUGGCCUGAGACCUGUUCACUAGCACCCCAGGGCCCUGGGUAAGUAUGCCUCACUGCAUUAAUCAACACCUCAAAUAUACCAUCACUGCAUGACUUACACUGACGUUCAAGUCCCAAGACCCAACUGGUUGAAAAUUUAAAACCUACUUCUUUCUGUAGGAAAAAGCUCAUAUAGUGUAAGAACCAGUCUUGAUGUAGUUGUUUCUGAUGAUCACAUGAAUUAUUACAGCAGGUCUGAGGCCCAGUGGCUUCAUAUUGUAUUAAGCUGUGAUGUCCUGAUACUGCUGCUUGUUUUGUUUUGGGGAGGGAGUGCCCUACAGUAUGAAGGAUUACCAUGGUGCAAUUUGAUUUAAGUGAAAUGAAAUACUUUGUUCGCACAACCUGAGGCUUUGUUCAAAUUUCCUUAAUGGUGGUAAUGGUUCCUUGAAGGUGAAGCCCAAAUUAUUGACAGUCUUUGUUUGCACUGAGAGGAUACGCCAGCCAGUUUUUGUAGCCUUGAGCAUUUGCCAGAGCAAGUAUGUCUUUUAAAUUGGUCUGUCUAGACCAGUAUUAACCUUGUAGCCUCCCAGUGAGCAAUUACAGGGCACUGUGGCAGAUUUUGUUUCCACUACUCCCCUCGCUCGUUGCUUCCCCAGACCUUCAUGGACCAGGAUUGUUUUGGGCAAUGGGACCUCUUGUGUCAGGCUGUGCAGGUGUUACAUGAAGGUGUUAUUGUAAAGUUGUUUAUGCAGAAUCAAUUGGUCACUAUUGGCCAUUUCAAACUAAAGAAUUUCAAGCAUGUAAUUCAGCAUCACAGCUGGCAGUGCUGGAGCUUUAGAAUUGAGUCAAAUGUGAGAACUCAAGAUGGCACCGAUAGAGAUGGCAGCUUCGCUUUAAGUCGUUAGGAAACUGUGCAGUAUUUAGUUUUUUUAAUGUAUUAUUUCUUACAUUGUUAGCCCAGAAAACCUUAAGUGUUAUUACAUACAGCCGGGAAGAACUAUUGGAUAUCAGAGAGACGUCAACUUCCCAGCACAACCAGAACUACGAUCAGGAAUACGACUUUCCCAAAGCGGAUCCUUUGUCUGCACCUCCCAGAGCAUUUGAACUGAUUCCAGAGGCCGACCCAAAACAACGUCAUCGGAAGAGACGGUGCCGGAGCGGUCCUCUAGUGAGGCUUCGGAUGCGCGCACACCACCCACCGCUUCAGAGUAUAUUACUCGCUAAUGUCCGGUCCCUAGUUAACAAAGUCGAUGAAAUUAGGGGAAGAGUUGCUUUCCAAAGAGAUAGCCAGGAUUGUAACAUACUCUGUUUCACGAAGACAUGGCUAGCUGGGGACAUGCUGUCAGAGUCCGUUCAGCGAACGGGAUUUUCAGUGCAUUGCAACGACGUGAACAAACAUCUCUCUGGUAAGAAGAAGGGCAGGUGUGUAUAUUUCAUGAUUAACAACUCAUGGUGUAAUUGUGACAACAUACAAUAACUCAAGUCCUUUUGUUCACCUAGAAUUCCUCACAAUCAAAUGCCGACCGUGUUAUCUCCCAAGAGAACUCUCCUCGGUUAUCGGCACAGCCGUGUAUAUCCCCCCGCAAGCGGUUACCAAGACGGCCAUCAAGGAACUUCAUUUGAAUUUAUGCAAACUGGAAACCAUAUAUCCUGAGGCUGUAUUUAUUGUAGUUGGGGUUUUAACAAAGCUUAUCUGAGAACAAGGUACCUAAAUUCUAUCAGCAUAUCGAUUGCAGUACACGAGCGAGUAACACACUCAACCACUGCUACUCUAACUACCGCGAUGCAUACAAGGCCCUCCCCUGCCCUCCUUUUGGCAAAUCUGACCAUGACUCCAUAUUUCUGCUAUAGGCAGAAACUUUAACAGGAAGCACCCGUCCUUAGGUCUGUCCAAUGCUGGUCUGACCAAUUGGAUUCCACGCUUAAAAAUGGCUUCGAUCACGUGGACUGGGAUAUGUUCCGGGUAGCCUCAGACAAUGACAUUGACGUAAGUUUAUAAGAAAGUGUAUAGGAGAUGUUGUACCCACUGUGACUAUUAAAACCUUUCCUAACCAGAAACCGUGGAUUGAUGGCAGUAUUUGAGCAAAACUGAAAGCAGGUACCACCGCAUUUAAUCAUGGCAAGGCGACUGGAAACAUGACCGAAUGCAAACAGUGAGUUAUUCCCUCCGUAAGGCAAUAAAACAAGCAAAGCGUCAGUAUAGAGACAAAGUGGAGUCGCAAUUCAACGGCUCAAACAUGAGACGUAUGUGGCAGGGUCUACAGACAAUCACGGAUUACAAAAGGAAAACCAGCCCCGUUGCGGACAACGAUGUCUUGCUCCCAGACAAAUUAAAUAACUUAUUUGCUUUGAGGACAAUACUGUGCCACCGACACGACACGCUACCAAAGACUGUGGGCUAUCCUUCUUUGUGGCCGACAUGAAUAAAACGUUUAAACGUAUUAACCCUCGCAAGGCUGCCGGCCCAGAUGACAUCCCUAGCCGUGUCCUCAGAGCAUGCGCAGACCAGCUGGCUGGUGUGUUUACAGACACAUUCAAUCAAUCCCUAUCUCAGUCUGCUGUCCCCACAUGCUUCAAGAUGGCCACCAUUGUUCCUGUUCCCAGGAAAGCAAAUGUAACUGAACUAAAUGACUAUCGCCCCGUAGCACUCACAUUUCUCAUCAUGAAGUGCAUUAAGAGGCGAGUCAAGGAUCAUGUCACCUCCACCCUACCUGUUACCCUAGACCCACUCAAUUUGCUUACCGCCCCAAUAGGUCCACAGACGAUGCAAUCGCCAUCACACUGCACACUGCCCUAUCCCAUCUGAACAAGAGGAAUACCUAUGUAAGAAUGCUGUUCAUUGACUACAGCUCAGCAUUCAACACCAUAGUGCCCUCCAAACUCAUCAUUAAGCUUGAGACCCAUGGUCUCGACCCCACCCUGUGCAACUGGGUCCAGGACUUCCUGAUGGGCCGCCCCCAGGUGGUGAAGGUAGGAAACAACAUCUCCACUCCGCUGAUCAACAACACUGGGGCUCCACAAGGGUGCGUUCUCAGCCCUCUCCUGUACUCCCUGUUCACCCACGACUGCGUGGCCAUGCACGCCUCCAACUCAAUCAUCAAGUUUGCAGAUUACACUCCAAUGGUAGAUUUGAUUAUCAACAACGACGAGACAGCCUACAGGGAGGAGGUGAGGGCCCUCGGAGUGGGGUGUCCGGAAAACAACCUCUCACUCAAUGUCACCAAAACAAAAGAGAUGAUCGUGGACUUCAGGAAACAGCAAAGGUAGUACCCAACUAUCCACAUCAACCGGACAGCAGUGGAGAAGGUGGAAAGUUCCUUGGUGUAUAUAUCACCAACAAACUGAAAAGGUCCACGUACACAGUGCCUCUUCAACCUCAGGAGGCUGAAAAAAAUGUGGCUUGUCACGAAAUCGCUCACUAACUUUUACAGGUGCACAAUCGAGAGCAUCCUGUCGGGCUGUAUCACCGCGUGCUAUGGCAAUUGCACUGCCCACAACCGCAGGGCUCUCCAGAGGGUGGUGCGGUUUGCACAAUGGAUCACCAGGGGCAAACUACCUGCCCUCCAGGACACCUACACCACCCAUUAGCACAGGAAGGCAAAAAAGAUAACCAAGGACAAUAACCACCCAAGUCACUACCUAUUCACCCUGCUUCCAUCCAGAAGGCGAGGUCAGUACAGGUGCAUCAGAGCUGGGACAGAGAGAUUGAAAAACAGCUUCUAUCUUAAGGCUAAUAAAUGGAAUUCUUGUCACUUUAAUUAAUAAUGUUUACAUAUCUCGCAUUGCUUAUCUCAUAUGUAUAUACUGUAUACUGUAUCCUUCACUAUCUAUUCUUUACUAUCUAUUGCAUCUUAGCCGCUCUGUCACUGCUCAUCCAUAUAUUUUAUACUUAUAUAUUCUCAUCCCAUUCCUUUACUAGAUUGUGUGUAUUCGGUUUGUUGUGGAAUUUGUCAUUUUUAGGUUUUGUUGUGGAAUUGUUAGAUAUUACCUGUUAGAUACUACUGCACUGUCAGAUCUAGAAGCAUAAGCAUUUCACUACACUCACAAUAACAACUGCUAACCAUGUGUACGUGACCAAUAAAAUUUGAUUUGAUUUGAUGUUUGGCACAUCAGCUAGAGGUUAAGGUGUUUCUUACAGACCAAUUGGAUUGGGAUCAACCUGCCCUCAGAACGCCACAAUGACCAUCAUGCUUAGUUGACCAUGAGAAUGUGGCUUUUUUGUUUUCCCUCACCUGUACACAUUUGUUGGACUAUUUUUGAAGUGAGGGGGAAAUUUGAGAGCUAGGGUGACGUCCCGUAACCAUUGUGUGGGGCAUUAAUUGAGGAUUUGGGCCUCAUUUGCCGCUAAGGCACAAUUUCCACUUGGAGCACAGCUGAAAGAAAGGUGAAAUCUCCUAGGAUUGUGUAGGAAAUUCAAUGUAAGUGACUUUUCUUUCUGCCAUAUUGUUUACAUACAUGCAACUUACCCCCAAAAGCCUAUAUGAGGAUAAAGUGUCCUGUGUUAGAUUUAUCUCGCGGGGUCCUCAAGGGGCUCAGACUUCAUCUUAAGACCGAUUGGCUCUGCACAUUCAUUCCUCAGCUGACUGCCCCUAAACACAGACGAGGCUACAACAUUGUUGGAAGAGGAAGUCACUUUGUAAUUUUAUUUAAUUGCAGACUUCCCCUCAACAAUGGCCUAGCAGACAGAGGGAGCCGUGGAAAGGGGGACUUUGCAUGGACCAAGGACUCGGAAUUGUGCAAACUGACAUGUUUUCUUAUGGCCCUCCAUUUUUCUGUCAUGUUGAAGGAAGAUGAGGUUAACUAAGACUUAACUCCGAUAACGCCCAAUGAGAUGAGUGUCAUUGAGCAGCAGACCUUGCUUGAGUAAGCAGCUCUACAUGCUGGAUAGACAAAAAGCGAGACAAAGAGAGAGUAAAGGGAUGGAAAGAGAGGGAUGGAAAGAAAGAGAGAAAAAGAUAAUUCUUUAGUAAUAACAGAUAUUAUAGCAGAAAAUGGUGCCACAGGCUGAGAUUCAAACAAUCUUUGCACUGUGAUCCUGAUUCAAAAGUGUAAAAUAUUUCCUUGUUUCCAUGUGUGUCAACUGUCAAAAUGCCUAUAGAAUAUGUGUACAACCACUUGAUUAAUUUAUAUAUAGGGUUUUUCUUUGUUUGUACAAUUUUCUACAUUGUAGAAUAAUAGUGAAGACAUCAACACUGUGAAAUAACACAUAUGGAAUCAUGUAGUAACAAAAAAGUGUUAAACAUAAUAAAAUAUAUUUUAUUUUGGAGAUUCUCCAAAGUAGCCACUAAGGAGGUGUGGGAAGCCCAGCCGACCCCCUUUUUGCAGCGUGGUGGAACACAGAGACGACGAGGGAGCAGAUAACAGCCAUAUGGCUAGUAGUAAGGGAACAUAUGGAGAAGGCCCAGCGCGCCCAAGCCAAGGUCUACAAUUGGGGUACCCGGCCCCGAGAGUUCCAUGUGGGUGACAAGGUGCUAGUUUUUUAAGUGCGCCCAGGUGGAACUGGACACACUCAGGCAAGCCGGGUUGACAGCGAAUGCCAAGAAUGCAAGCUGGGGUUCGAGGAUGUUGAGUACCUAGGGUACGGCAAGCCCCAGGAGAGGAAGGUCCAGUUGGUUUGUGACUGGCCCGUUCUCCGCACCAAGACAUGCUGAUUCCUUCCGAAAACAGUGAAGUGGUCGUAUGAGGCCGAAGCUGUGUUCAGGCACCUGAAGGAAGCCUUGUGCUCCCAUCCAAUUCUCGGGACACACCAUUUCCAGGUACUGAUGCUGGUGCAGACGGAUGCCUGCGACACGGGACUAGGGGCCAUCCUGUCCCAGGUAUACGAUGGGGAGGAACACCCCAUCAUGUACAAAAGCCGGAAGUUGAUACCUGAGCAAAGAAGUACUUGAUUGUCAAGAGAGUGUCUAGCGGUGAAGUGGGCGCUAGAUACUCUUAAGUAUUACCUGUUGGGCACUCACUCACCCUGGUCACAGACCAUGCUCCUCCGGCCAGGACUAAUUGAGGCUGAUUGAGACUGGUGAGUAAUCAAGGCGCUGAAUGCUCACCAGCCAUACGGGGCCCAUAAAGGUGCCAGGAGUGCAGCACACGGGAGGGUUGGAGGUAGCGAGAGGUUGCUACCAGAUAGACGUCCUCACAGUCUGCUAGAACCGAGGGGCUAGGUGUUCUACCCCAGGGGAGACGGCAUUCCCCAGAGCCCAGAAGGCGUUAACCCAGAAGUGGUCUCCUUGAGGAGACCGGUUUCUUUUCUUUUUCUUUAUCAUUUUAAAUAAACACCCUUGAAA
This is a long non-coding RNA of Oncorhynchus tshawytscha (Chinook salmon), 6886 nucleotides long. The record is from Ensembl. NCBI's taxonomy places the organism in Eukaryota, Metazoa, Chordata, Actinopteri, Salmoniformes, Salmonidae.